This is a long non-coding RNA of Oreochromis aureus, 2667 nucleotides long. Lineage: Eukaryota; Metazoa; Chordata; Actinopteri; Cichliformes; Cichlidae. The record is from Ensembl.
UGGGAUGUACAUGGGCGAGGCUUACUGCGUGGCAAGACACAGGCAAGUCGCGCAGAGCCUCAGUCCGUUCUUUAUUUUAUAGCAGAGAAUAGAUUACACAGCAUCUCUAGGUGGAGCAUACGUAAUAGAAAAACAUCUCUAGAUAUGGUUAUCGCAUGAGUGGCCGUUAUCCAUAAGACAAGAGGAACUAGUAUCUUUUGUCAUAUCAGCUUCAGGUUGGAACUGUCUCUGCCUGAGAGUGUGUGACUUUGUAACUUCCUCACGCAUGCUUCUGUUCCUUAAUCUGUAGGUUACAGGCACAUCAUGUUCUCACAAGAAAUUAUACUUAAGCAAAAUAAAAGUUAUCAAAGUAAGUAAAUGUAAAAAUCUCUUAACAUUUACCAAUAAAGAAUUAGGUUUAGGUUCAUGGGUGGAGUUUGGUGUUUGAUUAAAAUCUGCUGCUUUUCUACUUUCACCGUGACCAGGGUUCUGUGGACACCUGGUCACUGAAGACAUUUGUUGUCACUGCUGCAAAAUGAAUGUGAGAACAGUCCAACGAGAAUUUCUGAGGGAUUUUUGUGAUUUAAAAGGUCUUUGGUCCUCACAGAUGUAUUGAUGAAAAAGUUGCUUAUCUUUGCUGUUAAAGGGACGACAAAUAUUUCUAACAGUAGAAGUCCAAUCACUUUCUUUUAACAUUAGUAGUUUCAGAGGUCAAGUUUGUCCUCGGAUAGUAAACUGUGUUUGACUUUCUGUCACCUGUGAAACAAAAUACGCUGCUCCAGCUUUUCCUUUAAACAUUUCUUUUUUUUUUACAAAGCUGAAUGGCCAAGGUGCUCAUUCAUCACAUCUGCAUUUCAUUACAUAGCUGUGCUUUUAUUUUGUUGUUCCUCUAUAUAAGAUAAAGCUACAUUCUGAGUUAAUUACCCACACAGUGUGUGCAUCCACACAUGGGCUGUACUUAAAUGCACCAUGUGUUGGAAAGCUGUUGUCUUACUCCAUGUGUUUUAGCUUUAAGUGUUUAACCAUGCACUCCUCUUCCCUUGGCUCUUUUCCCCCUUUGCCUGCCUUUAUGCUAAGACUUGUUUUAAAGAAUAAGCGUACUUUGAAUUGCUGUUAGCAAGUGAGGCAUUCUAGCUGAGUCUGACAGGUUUUGCUGAGUUAAUUGAUGAUUUUUUAAACCAUAGAUUGUGGCAGCCAACAAGGAGAAUUCAACACUGUGCUCAUGCGAGUUCUUGUUAACCAUUACUUACAUAAAUACCUUUGGAAAACCUGUGCUUCUUCAAACUUGCAUGUUUUUUUAUCGUCUGAUAAGAAUACAGUAGCAGGCUUUCUGGCACUGUCUCUCUUCACAGCUCGGUAAUCUAAUCUAUCUGCAUGCCCUGUCUCUCUCUCUGCGUCUGUCAGUUGGUUUUAGGUGCACUGAGUUACCUGAGGAAGGUCAUAUUGUUUGUUCGCACCCACACAAGCAUUCCUUUUAUGCUAAUGUUCAAGAACAAAUUAUACUACAUAGGCCAUGUGCGUACAUAGCAUAACCACAUUGUGCCCACUUAAGUUUGUUUCACCAUGAGUAUUUAAAUAAAUGACCCACGUUGAGCUGAGAUCAAUCAAUAUCCCACAGAGGACAGUGCAGCUGUUUUUGCCACUGCAGCAGUGCUCCUCUACUGCAGUGGUUCUCAAACUGUGGUACGGGUAUCACUAGUAGUACUUGGGCUCUCUCUGGUAGUACGCAGGAAAUCUCCAAUUUUUUUUUAAAGAUUAAAUAAUAUACUAUUAUGGAGGUAUGCAAAGACGACACAAGAGUUCCCGAGGCUCUUCUGGGAACCGGAGUCAACCAGAAAACGUCUCCCCGAGGGUGGGUUCCUCUGGGAAAUUCUGGGAAAUUUCCUGGGCCUUAAAACUGCAAAGGCAGCACGGCACCGUCACACUGAUGGUAAAAACACAGCCCUUUUCCCAUGGUGCCGCUGUGCCGUGAUCCCAGCCACCAUCGAUGAGUCGAAGGCCCCCGGGAGAAUCGGUGGAGGUGUGGGAGAUGUCAUCGGUGAGUCGGGAACUGUCGCCUGGAUGCCAGUACAGUUGUUAUUAUUAUCACUCGUCCUUUUUAUGACAGUUAAAAUAAAUGACAUUCAUAUGAGAAAUAAAAUUGUCUCGUGUAAACUGUAUGUGGUGUUAAAUAGGCUUAUACUACUGUAAGGGUGGUACUUCAAGAGCCAUAUAUUUUAUGAGGUGGUACUCACUGUGAAAAGUUUGAGAACCACUGCUUUACUGCAACAAAGACAAUGUAGCUUGUAGUCUUUUCAUUCUUUAAUCAUUCUGAGAACUCAUUAGAGGCAAUUCUGAUGUUUUCAAACAGGAAAAAAGAGAAAUGAAGACACAUUAAGACUAUUUACACAAUGCUUACCCUUACAGAUGGCUGCACUGAAGGUCAGCCCCAGGGAUCAUACCUCACACGUAUCAGAAUAAGGCACAGAAAACAGCAGAUCAAGUCGAGCUCACGUAUCAUUUUUCCUGUGCCAGACAUCAUGUGCAGGAAAAAUCUGAAGGAACAUUCUUCUCAUACAUAAACAAGACUAUGUCUGUAAAUGAAUAAGUCAAGUUGAUUCAUUUACAGACACAUAAGGUUAUACAAAGUCAUUUAGAUCACCCAGUUAAAAUGUCCUGACUGGAGGUUGAUGUCAUAGAAUAUUUCUG